GAUGAACGCUGGCGGCGUGCCUAAUACAUGCAAGUAGAACGCUGAAGGAGGAGCUUGCUCUUCUGGAUGAGUUGCGAACGGGUGAGUAACGCGUAGGUAACCUGCCUGGUAGCGGGGGAUAACUAUUGGAAACGAUAGCUAAUACCGCAUGACAACAGUUAUUGCAUGAUAACUGUUUAAAAGGGGCAACUGCUCCACUACCAGAUGGACCUGCGUUGUAUUAGCUAGUUGGUGAGGUAACGGCUCACCAAGGCGACGAUACAUAGCCGACCUGAGAGGGUGAUCGGCCACGCUGGGACUGAGACACGGCCCAGACUCCUACGGGAGGCAGCAGUGGGGAAUCUUCGGCAAUGGACGGAAGUCUGACCGGGCAACGCCGCGUGAGUGAAGAAGGUUUUCGGAUCGUAAAGCUCUGUUGUAAGAGAAGAACGAGUGUGAGAGUGGAAAGUUCACACUGUGACGGUAUCUUACCAGAAAGGGACGGCUAACUACGUG
Molecule: ribosomal RNA, 495 nt
Filed under: uncultured bacterium
Lineage: Bacteria
Description: partial 16S ribosomal RNA
Rfam family: Bacterial small subunit ribosomal RNA
Source: RNAcentral